Molecule: ribosomal RNA, 253 nt
Filed under: uncultured bacterium
Lineage: Bacteria
Description: partial 16S ribosomal RNA
Rfam family: Bacterial small subunit ribosomal RNA
Source: RNAcentral
GACGAACCGUGCGAACGUUGUUCGGAAUCACUGGGCUUAAAGGGCGCGUAGGCGGCUUCGCAAGUCCGGGGUGAAAGCCCCCAGCUCAACUGGGGAAGUGCCUUGGAUACUGCGGGGCUCGAGGGAGGUAGGGGUGCGUGGAACUUCCGGUGGAGCGGUGAAAUGCGUUGAUAUCGGAAGGAACGCCGGUGGCGAAAGCGACGCACUGGACCUCUUCUGACGCUGAGGCGCGAAAGCCAGGGGAGCAAACGGG